This 465-nucleotide ribosomal RNA is filed under the name Vreelandella stevensii. RNAcentral describes it as "partial 16S ribosomal RNA". It matches the Rfam family "Bacterial small subunit ribosomal RNA", at positions 338 to 795 of the family's 1533-position model. Lineage: Bacteria; Pseudomonadati; Pseudomonadota; Gammaproteobacteria; Oceanospirillales; Halomonadaceae. The record is from RNAcentral.
CCUACGGGGGGCAGCAGUGGGGAAUAGUGGACAAUGGGGGCAACCCUGAUCCAGCCAUGCCGCGUGUGUGAAGAAGGCCCUCGGGUUGUAAAGCACUUUCAGUGAGGAAGAACGCCUGGUGGUUAAUACCCAUCAGGAAAGACAUUACUCACAGAAGAAGCACCGGCUAACUCCGUGCCAGCAGCCGCGGUAAUACGGCGGGUGCGAGCGUUAAUCGGAAUUACUGGGCGUAAAGCGCGCGUAGGUGGCUUGAUAAGCCGGUUGUGAAAGCCCCGGGCUCAACCUGGGAACGGCAUCCGGAACUGACCAGCUAGAGUGCAGGAGAGGAAGGUAGAAUUCCCGGUGUAGCGGUGAAAUGCGUAGAGAGCGGGAGGAAUACCAGUGGCGAAGGCGGCAUUCUGGACUGACACUGACGCUGAGGUGCGAAAGCGUGGGUAGCAAACAGGCUUAGAUACACGAGUAGUA